GGGUUGUGAGGUUAAGCGACUAAGCGUACACGGUGGAUGCCCUGGCAGUCAGAGGCGAUGAAGGACGUGCUAAUCUGCGAUAAGCGUCGGUAAGGUGAUAUGAACCGUUAUAACCGGCGAUUUCCGAAUGGGGAAACCCAGUGUGAUUCGUCACACUAUCAUUAACUGAAUCCAUAGGUUAAUGAGGCGAACCGGGGGAACUGAAACAUCUAAGUACCCCGAGGAAAAGAAAUCAACCGAGAUUCCCCCAGUAGCGGCGAGCGAACGGGGAGGAGCCCAGAGCCUGAAUCAGUGUGUGUGUUAGUGGAAGCGUCUGGAAAGGCGCGCGAUACAGGGUGACAGCCCCGUACACAAAAAUGCACAUGCUGUGAGCUCGAUGAGUAGGGCGGGACACGUGGUAUCCUGUCUGAAUAUGGGGGGACCAUCCUCCAAGGCUAAAUACUCCUGACUGACCGAUAGUGAACCAGUACCGUGAGGGAAAGGCGAAAAGAACCCCGGCGAGGGGAGUGAAAAAGAACCUGAAACCGUGUACGUACAAGCAGUGGGAGCACGCUUAGGCGUGUGACUGCGUACCUUUUGUAUAAUGGGUCAGCGACUUAUAUUCUGUAGCAAGGUUAACCGAAUAGGGGAGCCGAAGGGAAACCGAGUCUUAACUGGGCGUUAAGUUGCAGGGUAUAGACCCGAAACCCGGUGAUCUAGCCAUGGGCAGGUUGAAGGUUGGGUAACACUAACUGGAGGACCGAACCGACUAAUGUUGAAAAAUUAGCGGAUGACUUGUGGCUGGGGGUGAAAGGCCAAUCAAACCGGGAGAUAGCUGGUUCUCCCCGAAAGCUAUUUAGGUAGCGCCUCGUGAAUUCAUCUCCGGGGGUAGAGCACUGUUUCGGCAAGGGGGUCAUCCCGACUUACCAACCCGAUGCAAACUGCGAAUACCGGAGAAUGUUAUCACGGGAGACACACGGCGGGUGCUAACGUCCGUCGUGAAGAGGGAAACAACCCAGACCGCCAGCUAAGGUCCCAAAGUCAUGGUUAAGUGGGAAACGAUGUGGGAAGGCCCAGACAGCCAGGAUGUUGGCUUAGAAGCAGCCAUCAUUUAAAGAAAGCGUAAUAGCUCACUGGUCGAGUCGGCCUGCGCGGAAGAUGUAACGGGGCUAAACCAUGCACCGAAGCUGCGGCAGCGACGCUUAUGCGUUGUUGGGUAGGGGAGCGUUCUGUAAGCCUGCGAAGGUGUGCUGUGAGGCAUGCUGGAGGUAUCAGAAGUGCGAAUGCUGACAUAAGUAACGAUAAAGCGGGUGAAAAGCCCGCUCGCCGGAAGACCAAGGGUUCCUGUCCAACGUUAAUCGGGGCAGGGUGAGUCGACCCCUAAGGCGAGGCCGAAAGGCGUAGUCGAUGGGAAACAGGUUAAUAUUCCUGUACUUGGUGUUACUGCGAAGGGGGGACGGAGAAGGCUAUGUUGGCCGGGCGACGGUUGUCCCGGUUUAAGCGUGUAGGCUGGUUUUCCAGGCAAAUCCGGAAAACUAAGGCUGAGGCGUGAUGACGAGGCACUACGGUGCUGAAGCAACAAAUGCCCUGCUUCCAGGAAAAGCCUCUAAGCAUCAGGUAACAUCAAAUCGUACCCCAAACCGACACAGGUGGUCAGGUAGAGAAUACCAAGGCGCUUGAGAGAACUCGGGUGAAGGAACUAGGCAAAAUGGUGCCGUAACUUCGGGAGAAGGCACGCUGAUAUGUAGGUGAAGUCCCUCGCGGAUGGAGCUGAAAUCAGUCGAAGAUACCAGCUGGCUGCAACUGUUUAUUAAAAACACAGCACUGUGCAAACACGAAAGUGGACGUAUACGGUGUGACGCCUGCCCGGUGCCGGAAGGUUAAUUGAUGGGGUCAGCGCAAGCGAAGCUCUUGAUCGAAGCCCCGGUAAACGGCGGCCGUAACUAUAACGGUCCUAAGGUAGCGAAAUUCCUUGUCGGGUAAGUUCCGACCUGCACGAAUGGCGUAAUGAUGGCCAGGCUGUCUCCACCCGAGACUCAGUGAAAUUGAACUCGCUGUGAAGAUGCAGUGUACCCGCGGCAAGACGGAAAGACCCCGUGAACCUUUACUAUAGCUUGACACUGAACAUUGAGCCUUGAUGUGUAGGAUAGGUGGGAGGCUUUGAAGUGUGGACGCCAGUCUGCAUGGAGCCGACCUUGAAAUACCACCCUUUAAUGUUUGAUGUUCUAACGUUGACCCGUGAUCCGGGUUGCGGACAGUGUCUGGUGGGUAGUUUGACUGGGGCGGUCUCCUCCUAAAGAGUAACGGAGGAGCACGAAGGUUGGCUAAUCCUGGUCGGACAUCAGGAGGUUAGUGCAAUGGCAUAAGCCAGCUUGACUGCGAGCGUGACGGCGCGAGCAGGUGCGAAAGCAGGUCAUAGUGAUCCGGUGGUUCUGAAUGGAAGGGCCAUCGCUCAACGGAUAAAAGGUACUCCGGGGAUAACAGGCUGAUACCGCCCAAGAGUUCAUAUCGACGGCGGUGUUUGGCACCUCGAUGUCGGCUCAUCACAUCCUGGGGCUGAAGUAGGUCCCAAGGGUAUGGCUGUUCGCCAUUUAAAGUGGUACGCGAGCUGGGUUUAGAACGUCGUGAGACAGUUCGGUCCCUAUCUGCCGUGGGCGCUGGAGAACUGAGGGGGGCUGCUCCUAGUACGAGAGGACCGGAGUGGACGCAUCACUGGUGUUCGGGUUGUCAUGCCAAUGGCACUGCCCGGUAGCUAAAUGCGGAAGAGAUAAGUGCUGAAAGCAUCUAAGCACGAAACUUGCCCCGAGAUGAGUUCUCCCUGACUCCUUGAGAGUCCUGAAGGAACGUUGAAGACGACGACGUUGAUAGGCCGGGUGUGUAAGCGCAGCGAUGCGUUGAGCUAACCGGUACUAAUGAACCGUGAGGCUUAACCUUACAACGCCGAAGGUGUUU
This 2931-nucleotide ribosomal RNA is filed under the name Escherichia coli. RNAcentral's name for it is "23S ribosomal RNA". It matches the Rfam family "Bacterial large subunit ribosomal RNA". The record is from RNAcentral. Lineage: Bacteria; Pseudomonadati; Pseudomonadota; Gammaproteobacteria; Enterobacterales; Enterobacteriaceae.